RNAcentral lists this ribosomal RNA (253 nucleotides) under uncultured bacterium. RNAcentral describes it as "partial 16S ribosomal RNA". It matches the Rfam family "Bacterial small subunit ribosomal RNA", at positions 524 to 776 of the family's 1533-position model. The record is from RNAcentral.
UACGAAGGGGGCUAGCGUUGCUCGGAAUCAUUGGGCGUAAAGCGCACGUAGGCGGUCCAGCAAGUCGGGUGUGAAAGCCCUCGGCUUAACCGAGGAAGUGCAUUCGAAACUACUGGACUUGAGUACUGAAGAGGAUCGCGGAAUUCCCGGUGUAGAGGUGAAAUUCGUAGAUAUCGGGAGGAACACCAGUGGCGAAGGCGGCGAUCUGGGCAGAUACUGACGCUGAGGUGCGAAAGCGUGGGGAGCAAACAGG